GUAGAUCUCCCACCCUUGAAAUUAUACUUUCGUUGCUUUGGCAGGCCGUGUAAACACCAGAGGCUCCGGCUGAUGCGUGCCUGCCAGAGGAAACAAACUCUGUUUUUAGUGAUGUCUGAGUACUAUAUAAUAGUUAAAACUUUCAACAACGGAUCUCUUGGUUCUGGCAUCGAUGAAGAACGCAGCGAAAUGCGAUAAGUAAUGUGAAUUGCAGAAUUCAGUGAAUCAUCGAAUCUUUGAACGCACAUUGCGCCCCGUGGUAUUCCGCGGGGCAUGCCUGUUCGAGCGUCAUUUCAACCCAUCAAGCUUCGGCUUGGUCUUGGGGCCUGCGGUUUCGCAGCCUCUAAACCCAGUGGCGGUGCUAUUGAGCUCUGAGCGUAGUAAUUUCUCUCGCUAUAGAGUCUCGGUGGUGACUUGCCAACAACCCCCAAUUUUUAUCAGGUUGACCUCGGAUCAGGUAGGGAUACCCGCUGAACUUAAGCAUAUCAAUAAGCGGAGGAAAAGAAACCAACAGGGAUUACCUCAGUAACGGCGAGUGAAGCGGUAACAGCUCAAAUUUGAAAUCUGCCGCAAGGCCGAGUUGUAAUUUGUAGAAGAUGCUUUGGGUAUGGCCCCGGUCUAAGUUCGUUGGAACACGACGUCAUAGAGGGUGAGAAUCCCGUAUGUGACUGGGUGCUUUUGCCUAUGUAAAGCUCUUUCGACGAGUCGAGUUGUUUGGGAAUGCAGCUCAAAAUGGGUGGUAUAUUUCAUCUAAAGCUAAAUAUUGGCCAGAGACCGAUAGCGCACAAGUAGAGUGAUCGAAAGAUGAAAAGCACUUUGGAAAGAGAGUUAAACAGUACGUGAAAUUGUUG
RNAcentral lists this ribosomal RNA (851 nucleotides) under uncultured fungus. RNAcentral describes it as "eukaryotic LSU rRNA". The stretch from base 444 to 851 matches the Rfam family "Eukaryotic large subunit ribosomal RNA", at positions 1 to 410 of the family's 3401-position model. Lineage: Eukaryota; Fungi. The record is from RNAcentral.